Leopardus geoffroyi (Geoffroy's cat) is the source of this 1501-nucleotide long non-coding RNA. RefSeq lists it as uncharacterized. The record is from RefSeq and is a predicted model, not a curated record. NCBI's taxonomy places the organism in Eukaryota, Metazoa, Chordata, Mammalia, Carnivora, Felidae. The transcript is spliced from 9 exons.
GCCUCUGCUGCUGCCUCAGGACAGAGAACAGAGCUGAGUUACCAGCAGGUUCUGCCGCCCGCCCCAGGGGAGACCUUGAGAGAUUUGCAGGAACUUGGCAUCUCCUGAGUCGCCAGAGAGAAGCUGCCUUGUUGUACUGGAUGCUGAGAAGGGGGCACUGGGUGGCUUCCCUGGGCAAGCUGAUUGCUGAGCUGCACAGGCACUUGCAUUCUCUGGGUUGUUCCCUUGUUUCAUUCCUCCCCUUCCCGGACAAUAUUUGAACAAGACGUAUUUUACUCAAGGUCUCAUGGGUUGCGGGGUCCCACGACAUCACCUCAUAGAUGCAGUGGAUGGUUUGUUCCCAAUUCAGGCUUGUUUCCAGGAAGAAACCCUGACAGAAAUUCAGAAGAAUGGGAGCUGCAUUCUGUUAGGACGUAAAUACAUGAAAUGCGUGUCUCAGGACCUUCUAGAAGAAUGAGCUGGGACCCACUUUCCAAGUCCUGCUGGAACCAGAGACUGAGAAAAUAAAAAGACCCUGGAGGACAAGUGUAGUGCAUUGAGGUCUAUGAAAGCCACAAAGGAAGCAAAAUUCAAACAGCUGAAGGAGAAAGCACAUAACCUGGAAGAAUUCUAUGAACAAAGAAAAGUGCCUACAAAAAAGAAGCUGAAAAUGACACUGAACUGGUGGCAAAGAAGAAUCAGCUGGUAGCUGCUGAUCGCAGUUCAUGAGAAGAAUGCUCAGGACAACGAGAUCAAGACUCAGAUGUGGGACAGGGAGAUGGCAGAGCAGGGCAGGGACAUUGCCUACUUGAAAUACAGGACUGGACAGGAUGGAAGCAAAGAGGCUGCCUGAGGGAUACAUGAGGCAGAAACCAAUGGCUGCAAGACCAGAGAUGUAGAACCCUCCCAGGAGAGGGCAGUCUGGAUCCUGGGGACCUCCUCCGUUAACUGGAUGAUUCUGCAUGCCCUACCUUAGAGAUGCUCCACCCCCAUGGACUAUUAGGCACGUCCACCUCCUGAACCCUGCUGGCCCUGGGGCCACCCAGAACCCCUCCACCUGCAACACUUGGUAAGAUGAUCUGAGCACUAGGAGGUGACUUGUAAAACACACUCACCUUAUUUUUGUUGCUGUUAGGUCUUGGGCCAAGGUGCAGAGGCGGUACCACAGACAAUUGUGAUGCAAGGGGGAUGUGUCUGCUGCCAUUACCACAUUCCUCAAGUUUCUCAGGAUCUCAUCUUUGUCAUUUCCCCCACCAUGUGUCCAGAAGCAGGUGUCACACCCAAGAGUGACAUCAACACUGGCUCUGCCAAAACUGCCGAGAAGCACAAAGCUAUUUUGUAUGCAAGAGGGCCUGGUCCUUUCCCAGGAUCACCUUGCAGGCUGUACCCCAUGGACCACCCUUCACCACCAGUCAUGGGCUAUAGGCCACAUCCCCCUCCUCCAUCAGCUCCUCCACCUACUCUAUUUGUUAAGAUGACCUUAACUGGAUGAGUGGCUGGUAAAGUAUAUUCAUCUUCUUCA